AGCAUAUCAAUAAGCGGAGGAAAUAGAAACCAACCGGGAUUGCCCUAGUAACGGCGAGUGAAGCGGCAGCAGCUCAAAUUUGAAAUCUGGAGCCUUUGGCUUCCGAGUUGUAAUUUGCAGAGGGAGCCUCGGAGGGCGAGACGGUCCAAGUGCCUUGGAACAGGAUACCGCAGAGGGUGAGAGUCCCGUAUCCGGCCGAUCUUGCGCUCCGUGUGAGGCCCCUUCGACGAGUCGAGUUGUUUGGGAAUGCAGCUCCAAGCGGGUGGUAAAUUCCAUCUAAAGCUAAAUACUGGCCAGAGACCGAUAGCGAACAAGUAGAGUGAUCGAAAGAUGAAAAGCACUUUGAAAAGAGAGUCAAACAGUACGUGAAAUUGUUGAAAGGGAAGCGCAUGGGGGCAGACUUGGACGCGGGGUUCAGCGUUUCUAUUGGAGCGUGUACUUCCCCGCGUGCAGGCCAGCAUCGGUUCCGGGGGCCGGACAAAGAGGUUGGGAAUGUGGCUCCCCUCGGGGAGUGUUAUAGCCCGGCGUGCAAUGCGGCCACCUGGGACCGAGGACCGCGCCUUGUGCAAGGAUGCUGGCGUAAUGGCCUCAUGCGGCCCGUCUUGAAACACGGACCAAGGAGUCUAACAUCUAUGCGAGUGUUUGGGUGGCAAGCCCGGACGCGCAAUGAAAGUGAACGGAGGUGGGAGUCUGUUACAGGACGCACCAUCGACCGAUCCGGACGUCUUCUGAAGGAUUUGAGUAAGAGCAUAGCUGUUGGGACCCGAAAGAUGGUGAACUAUGCGUGAAUAGGGUGAAGCCAGAGGAAACUCUGGUGGAGGCUCGCAGCGGUUCUGACGUGCAAAUCGAUCGUCAAAUUUGCGUAUAGGGGGCGAAAGACUAAUCGAACCAUCUAGUAGCUGGUUCCUGCCGA
This 913-nucleotide ribosomal RNA is filed under the name Scolecobasidium ellipsoideum. RNAcentral describes it as "partial large subunit ribosomal RNA". It matches the Rfam family "Eukaryotic large subunit ribosomal RNA", at positions 37 to 964 of the family's 3401-position model. The record is from RNAcentral. Lineage: Eukaryota; Fungi; Ascomycota; Dothideomycetes; Venturiales; Sympoventuriaceae.